AGAGGGAGACCCUCCAGCUUUUGCACCUCUGGUGCAUGGCGUAAUUAUUGAUCCCACUCUGCUACACUUUGCUGAAAUGUAUGUGCUCUGCACUUUUACAGAGGUCGUAUCUUCCCCAUUUGGAAAACUCUCUCUUUCCUCACGUGCCCAAGCAUCAUGUGUUUCCUGUCAGCACCACUUACAGAGAGAGGUAAAACGGAUGAGAAGGAAGACGGAAAAAGUCAGCACUCCGCAAAGACUAUGCAAUUUCUUAGGACGGUCUUUGCUGAUUUUGCAGGAAAGAGGGAGAAGUGACAACAGAAGCAGAAAUUACAGUGAUGUGAGCCGAAGAAUGAGGCAGCCCCUGCAAACCCAGGAGGCAAGGAGAGGGAUUCUUCCCUGAAGACUCCAGGACCCAGCCCUGCCCUCACCUUGAUGGUAGUCCUGUAAAACUCAUUUCAGAAUUACAGUCUCCAAAACUAUUGCUGUAUUAAUUUGUGUUGUUUUAAGCCACUAGUUUUGUGGCCAUUUGCUAACAGCAGCCAUAGGAAGUUAAUACAGAACUGAAAGUCUUACUACUGGGCACACCAGGAUUUCCCUGAGAAAUACCAUAGAGAAAAGGGUCUUGUAAUCAAAUAUAUUGGCCACUGUGACAUCUCCCUCUUGGAGAUUCAAAACAGCAUCUUAGGCUCUGAGGAGACAUAAAAUAAAGAAUCUGUUUAACUCA
Molecule: long non-coding RNA, 706 nt
Filed under: Felis catus (domestic cat)
Lineage: Eukaryota; Metazoa; Chordata; Mammalia; Carnivora; Felidae
Description: lncRNA (ENSFCAG00000048017.1)
Source: RNAcentral